RNAcentral lists this small nucleolar RNA (132 nucleotides) under Castor canadensis (American beaver). Its description in RNAcentral is "Small nucleolar RNA SNORA51 (ENSCCNG00000003035.1)". It matches the Rfam family "Small nucleolar RNA SNORA51". From Rfam's summary of the family: ACA51 is a member of the H/ACA class of snoRNA that guide the sites of modification of uridines to pseudouridines. Lineage: Eukaryota; Metazoa; Chordata; Mammalia; Rodentia; Castoridae. The record is from Rfam by way of RNAcentral.
GCCCUCCUGGUGCUUGUCACAGGCUGUAUUUUUAUAUUGACUAUAUCAAAUGAGGCGGCAAAGUAAAUCUACCACAUAUACACCUCAGCCCAGGUCCUGUGCCUGGUCUGUAUUGCAAAUGAGGAGACAUGG